CCUACGGGAGGCAGCAGUGGGGAAUAUUGCACAAUGGGGGAAACCCUGAUGCAGCGACGCCGCGUGAGUGAAGAAGUAUUUCGGUAUGUAAAGCUCUAUCAGCAGGGAAGAAAUAAAGUCCUUCGGACUUUGGACGGUACCUGACUAAGAAGCCCCGGCUAACUACGUGCCAGCAGCCGCGGUAAUACGUAGGGGGCAAGCGUUAUCCGGAUUUACUGGGUGUAAAGGGAGCGUAGACGGCAGCGCAAGUCUGGAGUGAAAUCCCAUGGCUUAACCAUGGAACUGCUUUGGAAAAUGUGCAGCUGGAGUGCAGGAGAGGUAAGCGGAAAUCCUAGUGUAGCGGUGAAAUGCGUAGAUAUUAGGAGGAACACCAGUGGCGAAGGCGGCUUAAUGGACUGUAACUGACGUUGAGGCUCGAAAGCGUGGGGAGCAAACAGGAUUAGAUACCCCGGUAGUC
RNAcentral lists this ribosomal RNA (457 nucleotides) under uncultured bacterium. Its description in RNAcentral is "partial 16S ribosomal RNA". It matches the Rfam family "Bacterial small subunit ribosomal RNA", at positions 338 to 795 of the family's 1533-position model. The record is from RNAcentral.